CCUACGGGUGGCAACAGUGAGGAAUAUUGGUCAAUGGACGAGAGUCUGAACCAGCCAAGUAGCGUGAAGGAUGACUGCCCUAUGGGUUGUAAACUUCUUUUAUAUGGGAAUAAAAUGUUCCACGUGUGGGAUUUUGUAUGUACCAUAUGAAUAAGGAUCGGCUAACUCCGUGCCAGCAGCCGCGGUAAUACGGAGGAUCCGAGCGUUAUCCGGAUUUAUUGGGUUUAAAGGGAGCGUAGGUGGAUGGUUAAGUCAGUUGUGAAAGUUUGCGGCUCAACCGUAGAAUUGCAGUUGAAACUGGCAGUCUUGAGUACAGUAGAGGUGGGCGGAAUUCGUGGUGUAGCGGUGAAAUGCUUAGAUAUCACGAAGAACUCCGAUUGCGAAGGCAGCUCACUGGACUGCAACUGACGCUGAGGCUCGAAAGUGUGGGUAGCAAACAGGAUUAGAUACCCUGGUAGUC
This 460-nucleotide ribosomal RNA is filed under the name uncultured bacterium. RNAcentral's name for it is "partial 16S ribosomal RNA". It matches the Rfam family "Bacterial small subunit ribosomal RNA", at positions 338 to 795 of the family's 1533-position model. The record is from RNAcentral.